This 267-nucleotide ribosomal RNA is filed under the name uncultured bacterium. RNAcentral's name for it is "partial 16S ribosomal RNA". It matches the Rfam family "Bacterial small subunit ribosomal RNA", at positions 793 to 1055 of the family's 1533-position model. The record is from RNAcentral.
GUCCACGCCGUAAACGAUGAGAACUAGGUGUUGCGGGUAUUGACCCCUGCAGUGCCGCAGCUAACGCAUUAAGUUCUCCGCCUGGGAAGUACGGUCGCAAGACUAAAAACUCAAAGGAAUUGACGGGGGCCCGCACAAGCGGUGGAGCAUGUGGUUUAAUUCGACGCAACGCGCAGAACCUUACCUGGUCUUGACAUCUACGGAACCUUAGUGAAAGCUAGGGGUGCCUUUCGGGGAGCCGUAAGACAGGUGCUGCAUGGCUGUCGU